RNAcentral lists this ribosomal RNA (497 nucleotides) under uncultured bacterium. Its description in RNAcentral is "partial 16S ribosomal RNA". It matches the Rfam family "Bacterial small subunit ribosomal RNA", at positions 28 to 507 of the family's 1533-position model. The record is from RNAcentral.
GAUGAACGCUGGCGGCGUGCUUAAUACAUGCAAGUCGAGCGAACAGACGAGGCGCUUGCUCCUCUGACGUUAGCGGAGGACGGGUGUGUAACACGUGGAUAACCUACUUAUAUGACUGGGAUAACUUCGGGAAACCGGAGCUAAUACCGGAUAAUAUAUUGAACCGCAUGGUUCAAUAGUGAAAGACGGUUUUGCUGUCUCUUAUAGAUGCAUCCGCGCCGAAUUAGCUAGUUGGUAAGGUAACGGCUUACCAAGGCGACGAUGCGUAGCCGACCGGAGAGGCGGGUAGGCGGCCCUGGAGCUGGAACGCGGACCAGGGGACUGAGGGAGGCAGCAGUAGGGAAUCGUACGCAGUGGGCGAGAGCCUGGCGGAGCAACGCCGCGUGAGUGAUAAAGGUCUUCGGAGCGUAAAGCUGUGUUAUGGGGGAAAAACAGAUGUGUAAGUAGCUAAGCACGUCUUGACGGUACCUGAUCAGAAAGCAACGGCUAACUACGUG